GAUGAACGCUGGCGGCGUGCUUAAUACAUGCAAGUCGAGCGAACAGACGAGGAGCUUGCUCCUCUGACGUUAGCGGCGGACGGGUGAGUAACACGUGGAUAACCUACCUAUAAGACUGGGAUAACUUCGGGAAACCGGAGCUAAUACCGGAUAAUAUAUUGAACCGCAUGGUUCAAUAGUGAAAGACGGUUUUGCUGUCACUUAUAGGUGGAUCCGCGCCGCAUUAGCUAGUUGGUAAGGUAACGGCUUACCAAGGCAACGAUGCGUAGCCGACCUGAGAGGGUGAUCGGCGACACUGGAACUGAGACACGGUCCAGACUCCUACGGGAGGCAGCAGUAGGGAAUCUUCCGCAAUGGGCGAAAGCCUGACGGAGCAACGCCGCGUGAGUGAUGAAGGUCUUCGGAUCGUAAAACUCUGUUAUUAGGGAAGAACAAAUGUGUAAGUAACUAUGCACGUCUUGACGGUACCUAAUCAGAAAGCCACGGCUAACUACGUG
RNAcentral lists this ribosomal RNA (497 nucleotides) under uncultured bacterium. Its description in RNAcentral is "partial 16S ribosomal RNA". It matches the Rfam family "Bacterial small subunit ribosomal RNA", at positions 28 to 507 of the family's 1533-position model. The record is from RNAcentral.